Non-coding RNA from Pogona vitticeps (central bearded dragon), 409 nucleotides. The record is from RefSeq and is a predicted model, not a curated record. NCBI's taxonomy places the organism in Eukaryota, Metazoa, Chordata, Lepidosauria, Squamata, Agamidae.
GUGGAAGAGACCCUACGGAUCAUGGAGUCCAGCCCCUGUCAAGGAGACAGAGUGAGGAGGUGAACACCGAAUCUCUGGGUCUGCAACCCGAGACCUAAACCAUUGAGCUAUCCAUCUGCUCUCUGGAGAAAUGGCAUCACCAAGAUGCAAUGAAGAAGAAACAAUAACAAGAGAAUACCGAUCAGCAUCUUUCUCCUGUCAAGUCUGAAAUUCUGUAUGGGGAUCUUGUCUUCUUAUCUUUGGGCUGUUCUUGUCAGAACACGCAGCCUCGUGAUUGUUCCUGAACCCAACAUAAUACUGUCGACAUUGUUACUGGGAAUCCAUGAAGGCCUGGGCCAUGCUCCUGUGUGUAUCUAAAGCAAUAUCUUGGUCUUGAUGUCAAGUAAUCAGACGGCGAUUAGCCAAAUGG